Pelobates cultripes (western spadefoot toad) is the source of this 220-nucleotide non-coding RNA. NCBI's taxonomy places the organism in Eukaryota, Metazoa, Chordata, Amphibia, Anura, Pelobatidae. The record is from the annotation of a GenBank genome assembly.
GGGAGUGAGGUAUAGUGACAGUAACAGAGGGGUUUGAGGGCCCCGCUCAGUGAGUUUACAUGCUAGAAGGAGUGGGGUAUAGUGACACCAUAACAGAGGGAUUUAGGGCCUGCUCAGUGAGUUAGAGGGAGUGGGGUAUAGUGACACAGUAACACAGGGAUUGAGGGCCCUGCUCAGUGAGUUUACAUGUUAGAGGGAGUGGGGUAUAGUGACACAGUAA